RNAcentral lists this ribosomal RNA (529 nucleotides) under Bifidobacterium breve. RNAcentral's name for it is "bacterial SSU rRNA". It matches the Rfam family "Bacterial small subunit ribosomal RNA", at positions 161 to 700 of the family's 1533-position model. The record is from RNAcentral. Lineage: Bacteria; Bacillati; Actinomycetota; Actinomycetes; Bifidobacteriales; Bifidobacteriaceae.
UGGUAAUGCCGGAUGCUCCAUCUCACCGCAUGGUGUUCUGGGAAAGCCUUUGCGGCAUGGGAUGGGGUCGCGUCCUAUCAGCUUGAUGGCGGGGUAACGGCCCACCAUGGCUUCGACGGGUAGCCGGCCUGAGAGGGCGACCGGCCACAUUGGGACUGAGAUACGGCCCAGACUCCUACGGGAGGCAGCAGUGGGGAAUAUUGCACAAUGGGCGCAAGCCUGAUGCAGCGACGCCGCGUGAGGGAUGGAGGCCUUCGGGUUGUAAACCUCUUUUGUUAGGGAGCAAGGCAUUUUGUGUUGAGUGUACCUUUCGAAUAAGCACCGGCUAACUACGUGCCAGCAGCCGCGGUAAUACGUAGGGUGCAAGCGUUAUCCGGAAUUAUUGGGCGUAAAGGGCUCGUAGGCGGUUCGUCGCGUCCGGUGUGAAAGUCCAUCGCUUAACGGUGGAUCCGCGCCGGGUACGGGCGGGCUUGAGUGCGGUAGGGGAGACUGGAAUUCCCGGUGUAACGGUGGAAUGUGUAGAUAUCGG